GUCUACAGCCAUACCACCCUGAACAUGCCUGAUCUCAUCUGAUCUCGGAAGCUAAGGAGUGUCGGGCCUGGUUAGUACUUGGAUGGGAGACUUCCUUAGAGUCAUGGAGGAAGCAAACA
This 119-nucleotide ribosomal RNA is filed under the name Octodon degus (degu). The record is from RNAcentral. Lineage: Eukaryota; Metazoa; Chordata; Mammalia; Rodentia; Octodontidae.